Molecule: ribosomal RNA, 492 nt
Filed under: uncultured bacterium
Lineage: Bacteria
Description: partial 16S ribosomal RNA
Rfam family: Bacterial small subunit ribosomal RNA
Source: RNAcentral
AGUGAACGCUGGCGGUAGGCCUAACACAUGCAAGUCGAACGGCAGCACAGUAAGAGCUUGCUCUUACGGGUGGCGAGUGGCGGACGGGUGAGGAAUACAUCGGAAUCUACUUUUUCGUGGGGGAUAACGUAGGGAAACUUACGCUAAUACCGCAUACGACCUACGGGUGAAAGCAGGGGAUCUUCGGACCUUGCGCGAUUGAAUGAGCCGAUGUCGGAUUAGCUAGUUGGCGGGGUAAAGGCCCACCAAGGCGACGAUCCGUAGCUGGUCUGAGAGGAUGAUCAGCCACACUGGAACUGAGACACGGUCCAGACUCCUACGGGAGGCAGCAUUGGGGAAUAUUGGUCAAUGGGCGCAAGCCUGAUCCAGCCAUACCGCGUGGGUGAAGAAGGCCUUCGGGUUGUAAAGCCCUUUUGUUGGGAAAGAAAAGCAGCAGGUUAAUACCCCGCUGUUCUGACGUUACCCAAAGAAUAAGCACCGGCUAACUUCGUG